This 8448-nucleotide long non-coding RNA is filed under the name Ananas comosus (pineapple). RNAcentral's name for it is "long non-coding RNA (ACOM_LNC037752)". The record is from RNAcentral. Lineage: Eukaryota; Viridiplantae; Streptophyta; Magnoliopsida; Poales; Bromeliaceae.
GGUUGCAAAGUUAUACUGUUAGGGCGCAACUGAGUAGUCUAAUGUUGUUCCGGUUUUGGUUCUUGUGAAGGUUGACAUCGAUUCGUUCCAAAUUUACACUUUCGGGGCAUAAUAGAAGAAUAAAAUUAGCUUUUACUCUUUGUUCGAUGGAAUGAGAAAAAGUACUCGUUGCAAACUUAUACUGUUAGGGCACAAAUGAGUAGUCUAUUUUUGUUCCGGUUUUGGUCCUUAUGAAGGUUGUCGUCUAUUCAUUCCAAAUUUACACUUUCGGGACAUAAUGGAAGAAUAUAAUUAGCUUUUACUCUUUGUUCGAUUGAAUGAGAAAAAGUACUUGUAACAUAUUGAAUUGGUAGUUGCGAUGUUACUUGACUAGAGGGUCAAAGUUGAGGAUUGAGCUAGGGUUGGAUUUCCCGAGGGCAGGAUUUGUGAAUGCGUGUGGAUGAGUUCAAAGAGAAAUAAGUGUUUCGGCGCCAAUUGGUCCGCGAACGAAAUGUAAGAGAGUAAAGAGAAUUUUCGGAAAUUCGCGGCUACUUGUUGAUUAAAAGAAUUAAAGUAAGAGUGUAGAUGAAUUGUAAGUACCUAGAAUCCCCAAUUGUGAAGUUUUGGUAAAUGCCAGAGGGUGUGUUUUCACAGGGUUUUGAAGAGUCAGUUGACGACAGUGGUAGUGAAAGUCAUGUAAUGGAAUUGGGGAUUUAUUUCUAAUUAGGCUCAAAUAAUGUCAAUGAAAGAAUUGCUUCAAGUUAUAAUUGGUAGCUUGGGAAUGGUCCCUUGGUGUAUUUUAGGUGUUUGGGUGUACAUCGAUGAGAGCAAACAGAACAUUUGAAUUUUUUGUAAGGACGAGGAUUGAGAAUUAGCCAGAAAUGGCACAGGUGUCGAAAUUUACGAUUUGGCAGAGAUGUCAGGACAUUUUAUAGGUAUGUUUUGACAAGUUUAGAUUUUUUCUGACACAUGUAGAUGAGAAAAUAGAUCUGGAGUUAUGUUUGUAAAGAUUACAGUUCGGGAGCAGUUCGCACACCAAUCUGUGACCAAACGGGGUCCCGAAACUGAAAUGUUAAUUUUCAGUGGAUUGUCAAUAAGUAAAAACGAACAUUCUGCCAUAAUUGGUUAAUCGAUUUUGGAGAGCCUACGAAGAGAUACAGUUGAUCCGAGUUGCGCGACGGAGUAUAAAUCGAUGGAUUUUUGGUAAUUGAUGGCUUAGUGGAUUUCAUAAACUGCAGCAGAGGGAGCCCUCAUCCUUUCCCCUUCUGGUUACAUAGUAGAGAGAGAGAGGAGAGGAGAAAAGAGGAGAAAGUGAGAAAAGAGAGGAAGAAGAAAGAAGAAGUUAAGAGAGAGAGAAGAAAAAGAGGUUUAGGAUUUUACUUCUCUCCCUCUCACCCCCUCUCUCUGCUGUACUGGUUGUCGCAGCGCAGCAGCCAGCAAGCAGAUCAGCGCCAGCAUCCAGCAAACUGUGCAGCCAAGUAGCAGCAGCUGCUGCAGCAGUAGAGCUCAGCAGUGUGCCAUCGCUUCAGCUAGCGCAGCCUCAGCAGGCAGCAGCCUCAGCAGAGCCAGCAGCUUUUCAAGCGUAGCGGGCAGCAGCAGUGGACAGCAGCAGAGUGUGGGUAAGCACAAGCCAGAAUAGCAUCGGCAGCAGCUGCAGCAGCAGAGUCAGCACCGCAGAGUCGCAGGAGCUGCUGAGCAGCAGUUAGCAGCGCAAGUUGUCAGGGCAGCAGCUACGAAGAGCAGUUGAGCAGCAGACUAGCUGCAGAGAGAAGCUGCGCGAGCAGUCGCCGGCAAAGCAGCCUGUGCCUGAAGGCAGCAGAAGCAAGAAGAAAAGAUAAAAGCAAAGGCAAGAAAGAAAAAGAAUAAAAGAAAAGAAAUGGAAGAAGAAGAAGCAAGAAAGAAAGAUUUGAAAUAGAGUAAAGAUAAAAUCGAAGUAAUUUAGACAUUUUUACUAACUUUUUGAGGUCUUGGGGCUAAUAAAGAGUGAUUAAUCUAUUGAAUUGUUGAAUUGCAAUUGAAAUAGUGUUUUUGAGAAACUGACCCGCUAUGCCUUUUUACAAUUUAAGAAGUUAAGUGAAAGUUGACGAGUAUAACCAAAUGAGGUAAAGAAGCGUUGGCGAAGUCGGUUCCCCCGGCAAUCAUCGACCUACGCAGAAGACUAUCGCAGAAGAGGUUUUCGGGACAUAGUUGAACGCUUCUAUAUAGCUAGAAUGCUAUUUGAAAUUCAAUGAGCGAGUGACUUAGUUUAAUCUCUCCUGUGUUUAUAUAAAUGAUGAUUUCAUUGCUUCGAAAGGUCUAAUUGACCUUUUCGACGGUCGCGACGUGCUGCCCCGUAUCGGUUAGAGGCCGUUCUAUUCUAUUUGCCCCGGCAGUCGAAAGAGUAGUUGUCGACGCAUUUCGAGGUGAGAUUUAUUGGUGGAACUACUCAGGUUGGUGUGCUAUCGAGUAUUUGAAUACAUUUUUUGUUAUGCUUUAUUGAGCUAUUUAUUUGAAUUAUGCAUUAUAGGGUGAUGGUAUUGGAUUAGCAAGUGAUAUUGAAGUGUGAAUUCUUAUUGUUGUAGGAACAUAUAACUUUAGGAUGUGGAAUAGGAACUUGAAUGUAUGAACGUGUAAAGGGGACCAAGGCAUAGUGAACUGGUACUUGUAUGAUAGAGAUUUGGUUGCAUCGAGAAUGCAAUUAUGAAACUUAUAUAAAGAAUAGUUAGAGUUAAUUGUGCACAUUGUUGUCGUUGAAUUUAAGGGGGAUCAGAUCUUUUAUGAUAGUCUGGUUUGUCGUUAGCUUGUGGUGGUGGUCGCUCCCACAGGAGUGAGAUCGGAAGUGUACUUGUUGUGUAAGCGUUACGUGGCGGGGGAUAACGUAUUGUCGCAGACGACGGUCUCGGGAGGCCGUUUAGGGCCGUGAGGAUUUCGUUGGUGAGUUAAUGUUACCAAAAGGGUUACGUGCAAUUGGUUGUAAUUUAUGGGUAGUAUGCCCCAGGACUACGUAAUUAGCUCAGUGUUAACAGGAGGGUUAACAAAAGAUUGUGGUAAGUUAGUGAAAGAAUACAUCGGAUAUUACGGUUUCCUAUAUUUGUCUUUGCGUUUGUGCAGGCAUGUAGUGUUAAUGGUCUAUAGUUGUUAUAUUGUUUAAUUUUGUUUGUCUCUAUGCCUUAGUAACUAGUGGUUGUGAGCGGCACCGAGAGGUCGGCAGCCGACCACUGGGAACUUUCUUGUAGUUCUCACACCACUAACCAUACAGGUUCCAGUGCGAGUAUUGUGGCCGAGGAUCGAGGCAAGAGCCAGCAGCCUAGCUAGUGGACACCCGAGUACUAGUGGUAUACCAUUUGGGUUCAUGUAUCAUCUAUUUCGAUGUACAGAGACAUGUAAAUGAAUGUAUUAUAAAGCAUGUAAAUAGCUAAAUGUUUCAGUUAUACAGUUCAGUUUGAAAGUUUUAAGUUACAGUGAAUUUCAUUAUACAGUUAGUUUACUAUCACGUGUGUUUGUUGCUUGCCUUCGUGCAAGCCAUGUAUAUUGAAAUGUGAUCCUGGGAAUUGUUUAAUUUCUUUAUACAAGUAUCCGUUGUUGUUGAGCCUUGGGCGAACAGAGGAGGUACUGUUCGUUCGGCGUCUGUGUACGGGCCCGGAUCGACCAAAUUGGCGAUAACGGGACGUGACAUACUCGUUGUAAAGUUAUACUGUUAGGGCGCAACUGAGUAGUCUAAUGUUGUUCAGGUUUUGGUUCUUGUAAAGGUUGACAACGAUUCGUUCCAAAUUUACACUCUUGAGGCAUAAUAGAACAAUAUAAUUAGGUUUUACUCUUUACUCGAUUGAAUGAAAAACAGUACUCGUUGCAAUGUUAUAUUGUUAGGUCGCAACUGAGUAGUCUAUUGUUGUUCCGGUUUUGGUACUUGUGAAGGCUGACAUCGAUUCGUUCCAAAUUUUCACUCUCAGGGCAUAAUAGAACAACAUAAUUAGGUUUUAUUCUUUGUUUGAUUGAAAGAGAAAAAAUACCCGCCGCAAAGUUAUGUUGUUAGGGCGCAACUGAGUAGUCUAAUGUUGUUCCGGUUUUGGUUCUUGUGAAGGUUGACAACGAUUCGUUCCAAAAUUACACUCUCGAGGCAUAAUAGAACAAUAUAAUUUGGUUUUAUACUUUGUUCGAUUGAAUGAGAAAAAGUACUCGUUGCAAAGUUAUACUGUAAGGGGGCAACUGAGUAGUCUAAUAUUUUUCCGGUUUUGGUUCUUGUGAUGGUUGACAUCGAUUCGUUCCAAAUUUACACUUUCGGGGCAUAAUAGAACAAUAUAAUUAGCUUUUACCCUUUGUUCGAUUGAAUGAGAAAAACUACUCGUUGCAAAGUUAUACUUUAAGGGCGCAACUGCGUAGUCUACUUUUGUUCUGGUUUUGGUUCUUUUGAAGGUUCAUAUCGAUUCUUUCCAAAUUUACACUCUCGGGAGAUAAUAGAACAAUAUAAUUAGCUUUUACUCGAACAAUAUAAUUAGCUUUUACUCGAACAAUAUAAUUAGCUUUUACUCUUUAUUCGAUUGAAUGUGAAAAAGUCCUCGUUGCAAAGUUAUACUGUAAGGUGGCAACUGAGUAGUCUAAUGUUGUUCCGGUUUUGGUUUUUGUGAAGGUUGACUUCGAUUCGUUCCAAAUUUACACUCUCGAGACAUAAUAGAACAAUAUAAUUAGAUUUUAAUCUUUGUUCGAUUGAAUGAGAAAAAAUACUUGUUACAACGUUAUACUGUUAGGGCGCAACUGAGUUAUCUAUUUUUGUUCCGGUUUUGGUUCUUAUGAAAGUUUACAUCGAUUCGUUCCAUAUUUACACUCUCGGGGCAUAAUAGAACAAUAUAAUUGGCUUUUACUCUUUUUUCGUUUGAAUGAGAAAAAGUGCUCGUUGCAAAGUUAUACUGUUAGGGCGCAACUGAGUAGUCUAUUUUUGUUCGAUUUUGAUUUUUGUGAAGAUUGACAUCAAUUCGUUCCAAAUUUACACUAUCGGGGUAUAAUAGAACAAUAUAAUUAGCUUUUAUACUUUGUUUGAUUGAAUAAGAAAAAGUACUCGUUGCAAAUUUAUACUCUUAGGGCGCAACUGAGUAGCUUAAUGUUGUUCCGGUUUGGGUUCUUGUGAACGUUGACAUCGAUUCAUUCCAAAUUUACUCUCUUGGGGCAUAAUAGGUGUGGACGCAGGGACCACGUUUAGCUGAGCGCAAAUGAGUCAACUAUUUCGUUCGGGUUUUGGUUCUCUAAGAAAGUAGCCCUCGAUGCGUCACACCAUUUACACUCCGGCAUAAUAGAACAUAUAAUGCUUGUUUACUCUUUUUCGUUUGAAUGAAAAAAUGCUCGGGUUGCAAAGUUAUACGUACGGCCACUGAGUAGUCAUUUGUGCGAUUGAUUAUUUGUGAAGUAUGAAUCAAUCGUUCCAUAUUUACACCUAUUGAGUAUAAUAGAGCAUUUAAUUAAAUUUUAUACUUUGUUUUGAUUGAGAUAAAAAAAGACUCGUUGCAAAAUUUAUCACUCUAGGGCGCACUAGUAAGCUAAUGUUGUUCCGGUUUGUGGUUCUUGGUGAACGUUGACAUCGAUUCAUUCCAAAAAUGACUCUGCUUGGGGCAUAAUAGAACAAUAUAAUACUUUCACCGCAUUGUUCGAUUUUUCAAUGAUAAAAGUACAUCGUUGCGAUAAGUUAACUGUAGCACAACUAAGCAAGUCUAAUUUUGUCGCGGUUUGGUAGGCUUGUGAAGGUUAACACGGAUGCUUUCCAACAUUUCACUCCAGGGAUAAAAAAAACAUAAUUAGCCUUUUACAACUUUUUCGAAUGAAUGAGAAAAGUACCCCUGCAAAUUAUGCUGUUAGGCGCAACUGAGUACCUAAUUUCUUUCGAUCGUUCUUAAAGGUGACAAAUUCGUCCAAUUUACCUCUCAGAGCAUCAUGAAAAUAUAAUAGUUUUUACACUGUUACAUUAAUGCGAAAAGUACUGACAUUGCCCACAAUAUACUGAAGGUGCAACGAGUAGUCAAUUAAUUCUUACGGUUAUGUCUUGGAAUUAACAUCGAUCGUCGCCAAAUGUACAACUUUUUCGGGCAUAACUGAAAUAAAGUCAGCCUUGUACUCUUUGGUCGUUGAAAUGAAAAAUACUCGUUGCAAUAACUGUUAGGUCCGCCCGCGAGCCUGAUUAGUCAAUGUGUUCCUGCUUUGUUUCUGCAAAGUGACGUGGGUUCGAUUCGUUCAAAUAUAAACUCUCGGUGCGCUAGACAAUAUCUAAUUACUUUUACUCUUUGUUCGAGUUGAACGAGAAAAAAGGAUUCGUCUGAAAAUUAUACUCUAGGCGCGAACUGAUUGCUUAAUGUUGUUGCUGUUUGGGCUUCUUGUGAACGUUGACUGUUUUUUCGAUUCAUAAAUUUUACUCUCCUUGCGCAUAAUAGUAAAUAUAACUAAUUACUUUACUUUCAUGUCGAUCUUGAAUGAGAGAAAGACUCGUUCAUCCAAUCUUAUCUGUAGAUUGCAAUCUGAUUAUCGUAAAAAUGAUUUCCCUGUUUGUUUCUUUUGAAAAAGUUGACGUAUUCUCCAAAUGUUACACUUCUCGGUGCAUAAGAACAAUAUAAUUAGCUUAUCUUUGUUCGAUUGACUGAGAAAAAAACUCCGUUGUAAAGGUUAAGCUGUUAUGGCGCAAGACGANNNNNNNNNNNNNNNNNNNNNNNNNAUAUAGAAACAAUAUAAUUAGCUUUUACUCAUUGUUCGAUUGAAGAGUAAAAGUACUCGUUGCAAAGUUAUACUGUUAGGGCACAACUAAGCAGUCUAUUGUAUGUUCCGGUUUUGUACUUGUGAAGGUUGAACAUGAUUGUUCCAAAUUUCACUCUCAGGGUAUAAUAGAAAAAUAUUAGGUUUUACUCUUGGUUCGAUUGAAUGAGAAAAAUUACCCGCUGCAAAGUUAUGCUCUUAGGGGCACAAUGAGUAGUCUUAAUGUUCUUCCGAUUUUGUUCUGUAAAGGUUGACACGAUUCGUUCCAAAUUUACACUCUCAGAGGCUAAUAGAACAAUAUAAUUAGGUUUUACACUUAUGUUCGAUUUAAUGAGAAAAAGUACUCGUUGCCAAAUUAUACGUGUAAGGGGCAACUGAGUAGUCUAAUAUUUUUUCGGUUUGGUUCUUGUGAAGGUGACAUCGAUUCGUGUUCCAAAUUUACACUUUCGGGGCAUAAUAGAAUAAUAUAAUUAGCUUUUACUCUUGGUCGAUUAGAAUGAGAAAAAGUACUCGUUGCAAAGUUUAUACUGUUAGGGCGCAAUGAUUAGUCUAAUGUUGUUCCUGCUUUGGUUCUUCUGAAAGUUGACAUCGAUUCGUUCCAAAUUUCAAACUCUCGGGGCGUAAUAGAACAAUAUAAUUACUUUUACUCUUUGUUACGAUGAACGAGAAAAGUACUCUUUGAAAAUUUAUACUCUUAGGCGCAACUGAGUUGCUUAAUAUUGUUCUGGUUUGGGUUCUUGUGAACGUUGACAUGCAUUCAUUCCAAAUUUACUCUCUUGGGCAUAAUAGAACAAUAAUUAGCUUUUACUUAUUGUUCGAUUGAAAUGAGAAAAAAGUAUCGUUGCAAAGUUAUACUGUUAGGGCGCAACUGAUUAGUCUAAUGUUGUUCUGUUUGGUUCUUUUGAAAGUUGACGUCGAUUCGUUCCAAAAUUUACACUCUCGGUGCAUAAUAGAAUAAUAUAAUUAGCUUUUACUCUUGUUCGAUUGACUGAGAAAAAGUACUCGUUGUAAAGUUAUAUGUUAGGCGCGCAACUGAGUAGUCUAAUGUUGUUCAUUUUGGUUCUUGUAAAGGUUGACAACGAUUCGUUCCAAUUUACACUCUUGAGGCAUAUAGAACAAUAUAAUUAGGUUUUACUCUUUAUUCGAUUGAAUGAGAAAAAGUACUCGUUGCAUAUGUUUAAUUUUAGGUCGCAACUGAGUUAGUCUAUUGUUGUUCCGGUUUUGGUACUUGUGAAGGCUGACAUCGAUUCGUUCCAAAUUUCCACUCUCAGGGCUAAUUGAACAACAUAAUUAGGUUUUACUCUUUGUUUUGAUUGAAUGAGAAAAAAUACCCGCUGCAAAGUUUCUGUUUAGGGCAACUGAGUAGUCUAAUGUUGUUCUAGUUUUGGUUCUUGUAAAGGUUGACAACGAUUCGUUCCAAAUUUACACUCUUGAGGCAUAAUAGAAUAAUAUAAUUAGGUUUUACUCUUUAUUCGAUUGAAUGAGAAAAAGUACUCGUUGCAAUGUUAUAUUGUUAGGUCGCAACUGAGUAGUCUAUUGUUGUUCCGGUUUUGGUACUUGUGAAGGUUGACAUCGAUUCGUUCCAAAUUUCCACUCUCAGGGCAUAAUUGAACAACAUAAUUAGGUUUUACUCUUUGUUUGAUUGAAUGAGAAAAAAUACCCGCUGCAAAGUUAUGCUGUUAGGGCGCAACUGAGUAGUCUAAUGUUGUUCCGGUUUUGGUUCUUGUGAAGGUUGACAAUGAUUCGUUCCAAAUUUACACU